UAUAUGUUCUCUAUAAACCUCUGAAUCUUAUAGCAGAGUCUGAAACCAUCGUAGGAGAGAGAAAUGAAGACUCAUUGCUGGGUUCGAGCUUCUGAUUCUGAUUUCACUGGCCCACUUCCUCAACCUCGAAGUGGGCACACAGCUGUGAACAUCGGCAAGUCGAUGAUUGUAUUCUUCGGUGGCCUUUUAGACAAGAAAUUCCUAAAUGACGUCACAGUUUAUGACAUUGACAACGAUAUGUGGUUUCAACCAGAGUUCAUGGACAGUGGUUCUGAUGGGAAUACGGGCCCAAGUCCACGUGCUUUUCAUGUUGCUGUUUCAAUAGAUUGUCACAUGUUCAUAUUUGGUGGGAGGUCUGGUGCGAAUAGGCUUAGUGAUUUCUGGGUUCUGGAUACCGAUAUUUGGCAGUGGUCACAACUGACCACGUUUGGCGACUUGCCUUCACCUCGGGAUUUUGCAGCUGCUUCGGCUGUUGGAAACAGUAAAAUUGUGAUGUUUGGUGGCUGGGAUGAGAAAAAGUGGCUCUCAGAUGUCUAUGUCCUAGACACAUUUACACUUGAGUGGAUGGAGUUAUCAGUUUCAGGGACGAUACCUCCACCGAGAUGUGGCCAUUCUGCUACAAUGAUUGAAACACGGUUACUCAUCUAUGGUGGCAGAGGUGGUGGGGGUCCAAUCAUGGGUGAUCUAUGGGCUUUAAAAGGACUCAUUAAAGAAGAGAAUGAACCACCUGGGUGGACCCAAUUAAAGCUACCAGGACAAGCUCCUUCACCUCGUUGUGGACACACUGUGGCUUCUGGAGGGCCUUACCUUAUGUUAUUUGGAGGGCAUGGAACUGGUGGUUGGUUGAGCCGUUAUGAUGUUUAUUACAAUGACUGUGUUGUUCUAGACAGGGUGUCUGUGCAAUGGAAACGGUUGCAUAUUAUCAAUGAACCCCCGGCUGCUCGAGCAUAUCAUUCUAUGAACUGUGUUGGUUCUCGGUACCUCUUGUUUGGUGGCUUUGAUGGAAAAUCAACUUAUGGUGAUCUAUGGUGGCUUGUACCUGAAGAUGAUCCUAUUGCAAAGAGGUCUGGAAUAUCCUCUUCUGAAGUUGUUCCAGAAAGAGAUACAACCGUGGAAGAAAAGGAAAGCCAAAGAGAAGGAGAUGCAAUUGCAGAGUUGCAGAAACGAUUACAAAUAUCGGGUUUACUUUCAACUUCUGUGCACAUUGUCGAUGAAAUGGAAGACAAAGAACUAAUCCAACAAGCGUUAAGAGUUGGCGGUAAAGAUGCUGUCGGUAAUAUGCAGGCUGUGCAAGCACUCCGAGACCACUGGGCGAGAUCUGCUCCAGAAUCCAUAACUUUGAAGGAGAUUUCCCCAUUACUACAUGAUUACCAACGGCUGAUUACCCGCCAUCAUAUAGGAAAGGUUGGAUCUAAUCUUGAUGAGCUUGUGGGACUUGGUUUCGCUGGAAAAGGUGCACCGUUUCGCUUCUACCACAUAAAAACUGCUUCUCAGUUUCGCCUGAACGACAUCCCGAGUUUAUUAGCAGAGUACAAAGAGCUUGUCUCAUCUACAAAUAUAAGUUGACAGACAGCACCCAAAUCGGAUGCUCUAUGCAGCAGCCCUUGUUCGCGUUGAGAUGAAUGUGCAUUUCUGCCAUUGGCAUAGAAGAAACAAGGGCGAAAAUCGGGAGCUGCAAAAAAAAAGACAGCAGAGAGAAUAAGAUCUGGUGAAGGGAUUUGAGGUCACGAUUAGCUACUUCUAAUCUUCUUCUUACAUUGGACACCUCUUUUCUCAUUGGAUCUGUCAACUCUUCAAGUUCCUAAUGCAUUUACACACAGAAAUAAAUUGGCAAUUAAGAUUCUUGAUGUCACAGUCAUGUAACUAUGUAAGAAUGCCCGAACCAAUAGAAAACGGAAUGAAAUUUUGAAUAAA
RNA transcript from Salvia splendens (bonfire salvia), 1914 nucleotides. It is a transcript of the gene named protein GLUTELIN PRECURSOR ACCUMULATION 3, with no coding region annotated. The record is from RefSeq and is a predicted model, not a curated record. Lineage: Eukaryota; Viridiplantae; Streptophyta; Magnoliopsida; Lamiales; Lamiaceae. The transcript is spliced from 18 exons.